GAGCGCACCUUCGGGUGAGCGGCGGACGGGUUAGUAACGCGUGGGAACGUGCCCUUUUCUGCGGAAUAGCCACUGGAAACGGUGAGUAAUACCGCAUACGCCCUUCGGGGGAAAGAUUUAUCGGAGAAGGAUCGGCCCGCGUUAGAUUAGGUAGUUGGUGGGGUAAUGGCCUACCAAGCCUACGAUCUAUAGCUGGUUUGAGAGGAUGAUCAGCAACACUGGGACUGAGACACGGCCCAGACUCCUACGGGAGGCAGCAGUGGGGAAUCUUAGACAAUGGGGGCAACCCUGAUCUAGCCAUGCCGCGUGAGUGAUGAAGGCCUUAGGGUCGUAAAGCUCUUUCGCUGGGGAUGAUAAUGACAGUACCCAGUAAAGAAACCCCGGCUAACUCCGUGCCAGCAGCCGCGGUAAUACGGAGGGGGUUAGCGUUGUUCGGAAUUACUGGGCGUAUAGCGCACGUAGGCGGACUGGAAAGUUAGAGGUGAAAUCCCGGGGCUCAACCCCGGAACUGCCUUUAAAACUAUCAGUCUAGAGUUCGAGAGAGGUGAGUGGAAUUCCGAGUGUAGAGGUGAAAUUCGUAGAUAUUCGGAGGAACACCAGUGGCGAAGGCGGCUCACUGGCUCGAUACUGACGCUGAGGUGCGAAAGUGUGGGGAGCAAACAGGAUUAGA
RNAcentral lists this ribosomal RNA (670 nucleotides) under uncultured Alphaproteobacteria bacterium. RNAcentral's name for it is "bacterial SSU rRNA". It matches the Rfam family "Bacterial small subunit ribosomal RNA", at positions 64 to 782 of the family's 1533-position model. The record is from RNAcentral. Lineage: Bacteria; Pseudomonadati; Pseudomonadota; Alphaproteobacteria.